Molecule: long non-coding RNA, 5956 nt
Organism: Homo sapiens (human)
Lineage: Eukaryota; Metazoa; Chordata; Mammalia; Primates; Hominidae
Exons: 3
Source: RefSeq, a predicted model, not a curated record
CAGCUUGGCUGUGCUCUGAAUUAACCUGCAUAACAGAGACUUGUUGAGUUUGCAGCUCUUUAAGGUGCAUAUUAACACCAGGAGGAAGGCAAGGAGACACCCUGAGAGAAGGUCAAUUUGUGGCUGCUCAAAUCAGCAGGGCUCCUGGAGAAACUUGGCUGGAGAAGCCAGCUCUGGGCCCUUUGGGUGAGAAGCAAGAGAGGAAAGUCCAGUCUGUGGAGGAGGGGAGGCCCCAGUGCUUCUUGGGGGCAGCUUCUGCAGUCUGGCUAACCUGUGAGAACCCUGAAAGUGCAGCUGGGAGGGACUUCCUCCCGAAGUGGAGCUGCAACAGAAAGAGAAUUAAGGAGAGAUGGGUAAUGUGCCAACAUCAUAACAAGGUUCAAGGGAGGCACAUCUCAUACGAGUGUGAAAAGGCAAUCAUCAUGCUUAUGAACUACAAGAUUAUCCUAUAUAUUCAUUUUCAAUUAUUUUAUCCUCCUCUGCCUCUUGCCCUGGACUAUAUAAGACCUGCAAUAUAAUGUUGAAUAAGGAAGGUGAAAACGAACAUCAUUGCAUCACUCCUGAUAUCAAAGCAUGGUGAAUUAUAUUAAUUUUUGGAUAUUAAACCAACCUAAAGUUCCUGGUCAUGAAGCAUUAUCCUUUUUAUAUAUUAUUGUAUUUGAUUUGCCUAAGAUGUCUGCUAUUAUUUGUGAGUAUUUUUGUUAUUCCAUUUUAUUACUUUUGUUGACCUAUUUGUUAUAAUUUUUUGUUUUGUCAUUUUAGUGUUUUCUUAAGGAUUUAUAGUAUACAUUUCUAACUUAUUGCAGUCUAACUGAAGGAUAGGAGAGAGUCAUAUGAAAGACAGAAAGAACUUCAAAAAUCUGCAGAGGGUUUUCUUUAAAUAUUCAUCUGGAUACUACUAAGAGUAUACAUUUGAGGAAACUACCUGUGGCCAGGGAAAGAAAUACCUGAAAAGAUGAGAUGCGGCAAUCUAUGGCUCUCAUACUUGACUGAUGUGGUGACUAUUCCCACUAUACAAAGUGGAAACCAUAAUUCAUAGAGCAUCAGGGACAGAAUCCAGAAGUGUUUUGCCUUGGUAGUGGAGAACAUUCACCCUAGAAUAAAUGCUACUCUAGUCUUAUCUAACAAAGCUGAAAAGCAAGCUUCAAAAAGGUCAACCUGUUUUCAAAUAUUUUAACUGCAUCUCAGAAAAAAUCUAAGGAAUACUUAUAGGAAUACAAAAAUAUCCAGCACCUAAACAGGAUAAAAUUUAUAAUGCUUGGCAUCCCAUAAAAAAACAACUGUGUAAAGAAGCAUUAAAAUUAUACCCAUAAUGGGGAGAAAAAUCAAUAAAAAUUGAUCCAGAUGGUAGAAUUAGUACAAAAGGGCAUAAUAACACUUAUUAUAACUAUAUUCCAUAUGUUCAAAAAGCUAAAAGAAAUAUUAUGCUAUGUAAAGUAGAGGCAUAAAAGAUAUAACAAUAGACUCAAUUUGAACUUCAAGAGAUGAAAACUGCAAUGUUUGAGAUAAAAAAUACACUGAAUAAAAUUAUGGUAGCUUAGACAUUGUACAAGAAAAUAUUAGGAAACCUGAAUACAUAGCAGGAGUUUCUGCCAUUGCUAUGAAAUUAUUUAUUUUUCCUUGCUGCAAAUUUUGCAUUUUACAUUUUGAGGCCAUGUUAUGAGGUGGAUACACAGGUAAAUAAAAUACAGAAAUACAAUAAGACUAAAAAAAUAAAAAGAGAGAAUUAGUGAGCUGUGGUAUGAGUGAACCCUAACUCCCCUGGUCUCCUCUGACUCUUGAUCUAUCCCCUCAAUUCAGAGAUCACUGGACUCCUCCUGGGUUUCCCUCCUUGCACCACAGCCUGGAAACUCUCUUUAGGCAAUGAACCAAGGGCAGCUGUAGAGUUCACUUAUCUCCUUUAUUUCCCAUCUCUCAGAAAUCACUGUUCUUUUUUGCUUAAUGUCUAAAGUUUUAAGAAACAUUGUUUCACAAACAGGAAAGUAAAAUUUUCUUAAAAUUCUUAGUUAUUUUCGGUAGGAGGGUAUAUCUGGUACUGGUUACUCUACCUUGGCUCCAAGAGGCUGUGAGGUAUGGUAUUUUUAUAUAUUUCAAUUAGUUUAGGUUUAUUAAGUAUAUUUUUCAAAUCUUCUAUAUCCUUUGUGUUAUUUCUAUGUGCCUACUCUGUUACUGGGAAAAAUAUAUGAAAUUAUUUUUCCUUGCUCCAAAUUUUGCAUUUUACAUUUUGAGGCCAUGUUAUGAGGUGGAUACACAGAUAAAAUUUUUAUAUCUUCCCAGUGGAUUGAUCGUUUUCUUAUUAUAAAAUAUAUGAUAUAUGUUUUUAUAUUGUUUUUGUUAUUGUAAAACAUAUUUCAUUUUCUCUGUCAACUCUUCUUGCCUCAAAGUCUACUCUAUCUAAAGACAGUAUAGCCAUACUAUCUUUUUUUGGUUAGUGUUUGCAUAGUAUAUUUUUUUCCAUUCUUUUCCUUUCAUCCUUUUUGUGGUCUUAUAUUUAAGGUCCAUCACUUGUAAGUAGCCUAUAGUUGUUUAUUUUCAUCAUAGUUAUUGAAAAGCAAUAUGAAUAUUUCCAUGUUCCUGCAUGGUUAGAGCUUUUGGAACAAAGAAAAUUGACAUGCUCUAACAAUGGAGCAUUUCUCUUCUCCCCAGACACAUUUGCUUCUCACAGUCUAAGGAUGAUAGACCUGGAACCACUUUUUUCCUUUGUAAUGGAGCCAUCUGCUCCUAUUCAAGGGAUAGGCAAACUCAUCUUGCCAAGAGCCAAAUACUUGCACUUCAGAGUAGAGACUUUUUCUUUUCUCUUCCCCGAGAAAAUUUGUUUGCAUUAGAAAAACAAGGCUCCUCUCCCUCUCUUAGAAGACGACAGGGAAGGCAGUUGUAUCUGUUUCUAUGUAAAUGCCCAUACUUAUAAUUUUGGAACUUCUCUCCUGUAAAGCCAGAAACCAGAAACCAUACCGCCGCCCCACCACCCCACUCCCUGCCUUGCAUGCACAGGCCUAACCAUCUGGGUCUCAUUGCCCCACACCUCAGUGGGAGAUUGGGCAUGGGAAACUGCUGUCGUUAUUGCUGUGAGUAAUAAUAGUCUUCUCCAAUUCAGAAAUUUUAUGUUUGUCUUCAGGAUAAUAUAAAUAUAUAUAGACAUUAAGAUCUUAUCAAUAGUCUUACAAUUUUUGUUUCCAGUAUAAGGAUUUAGUGUAUUUAUCCUUUUUUGUGAUUACUAACAUUUUGGGGCUUAAGUGCACUACAUGUUUUCUAUUUGUAUCUUCCAGAUGCCCCUUUUGUCCUCCUUUCUUUUCUUGUUUUGAGUUAAUCGAGUGUUUUUUUUUUUUGUUUUGUUUUGUUUUUUUUGAGAUAGAGUCUUGCUCUAUUGCCCAGGCUGGAGUGCAGUGGCGCGAUCUCAACUCACUGCAACCUCUGCCUCCUGGGUUCAAGCGAUUCUCCUGCCUCAGCUUUCGAAGUAGCUGGGAUUACAGGCACCCAUCACCAUGCUCAGCUCGAGUUAAUCAAGUAUGUUUUCUUCUUUUUUUCUUUUUCUUUCCUUCUCUCCCUCCUUCCUUCUCUCCUUCCCUCCCUCCCUCGCUCUCUCUGUCUCUCUUUCUUUCUUCCUUCCUUCUUUUUUUUUUUUUUUUCAGAGUCUCGCUUUGUUGCCCAGGUUGGAGUGCAGUGGUACUCACUCUUCACUCCUCCCACUUCAACCUCAUGAGUAGCUGGCAUCAUGGAUGUGUACCACCACAUCUGGCAAAUUUUUGUAUUUUUUUUAGAGAGGGGGUUUUGCCAUGUUAUUCAGGCUGGUCUCGAACUCCUAAGCUCAAGCAAUUCACUCAGAUUGGCCAGCCAAAGCACUGGGAUUACAGGUGUGAGCCAGCAUGCCUAGCUUUGUUUUCUUAUUUCCAUUAUUGUGUUAGUUAUAUAGUUUUUUGCUAUCCUUUUAGUGUUUAUUCCUGAGAUUACACAUGCAUCUUUGAUAAAUGAUAAUAAAUGGACAAUUAUUACUUUGAUCACUUUUAUAAUUUCUACUGAUAAGUUAUCUAUGUAUUAUUGUUACUCAUUUGAAAAUAAUGUGGGUUUUUCUCUGGCUGCCUUAACUAUUUCUCUUGGUUUUGGAUUUUUGGCAGUUUGGGUAUGGUAUGCUUGAGUAUACAUUUAUCCUGCUUAGGGCUGUCUGAAAAUCUGUAGCUUGAUGUCACUUGUCAGUCUUAGAAAAUUCUCAGCCAGUAAUUUUCAAAUAUUGUUUAUGCCACAUUUUUUUCUCUCCUUUUCCUCUGGGACUCCAAAUAUAUUAGGCCUUUUCAUCGUCCCAUAUGUUUCUUACACUCUUUUCUAUAUUUCCAUCUCUUAAAAAUAUUCUCUCUUGUUAUAAUCUGGGUGUUGUCUUCUAAUCUAUCAUUCCAGCCUCUUCCUUCUUUCAGUGGUGUUUAAUCUCUUGUUAAAUACAACUUACUAAUUUUAGUUAUAUAUUUUUAGUUUUAGAAUUGUAAUUUGGUUCUUUUUAUAGAUCUCAAGGUGGUUUCUUUGCUGAAAUUUCCCAUUUUUGAUCUAUUUCCUUAUAGAUAUUUAUCACAGUUAUUUUAAAAUCUGUGUCUGAAAACACCAAUAUUUUGGUUCAGCUGUGAAUCUGUUUCUAUAAUCUGUUUUUUAUUUUGGUUCUUAGUUAUUUCAUUUUAUGUCCUAGAAUGUCUAGUUAGUUCUUAUUAAAUGUCACCCAUUGUUAUGAAAAACUGUAGUCUCUGGAUGAUGUUAUCAUUUUCCAGUUAAGGUUUACUUAGUCAAUUAGGGUGGGGGCAGGUCAUCUGUAUCUGAAGCUCGGUUCUAUUCUCUGUGAAGGUUCAUAAAUUCCCUACUUGCUUUUAUUCUUUGGCUUUAGUACUUCGUGUGUCCCAAAUUAAAGCCUGAAAUGUUUACCAGGUCUCCUCCUUGGUGGUCUUCAAGUCUCCCUAGCACUGUAAGAGUGCUAAAAUGCUCUUUUUAAAUUUUCUAGCCUCAUAGGCACUUUUUGGUUAGGUUUCUCAGCCCCUCAGUUGCUGAUUACAGAUCACAAAUGGCUUGAGAGAAAUUGGCAUUGAAUAUUGGGUUCACUUAUUUGAUCUCUUCUCUCCAGGAUCUCAUCUCCUCAUGUCCUUGAUGCCUUGGUAGCUUUGAACUUCUAUUUGUCUCCUCAGCCACAUGAGACUGUCUAAAACUCUGCUUGGCCUUACAGUAUCUUAGCUACUGUCUGAUGCUUAUCUUUUCAGUCUGAGCUGCUAUAUAUGAUUCAGUGAAUACACGAAGGGAAGAGCAAUCAUGAACGGAGGGCGCUUCUCAAUUCAUUUCUCUUCAGAAAUUUGGCUCAUAUGUCCUGCCUUCUUUGGUAGAUCUUCAAUAAUUGUAAAAACCUUUUUUUCUGGCCGGGCACAGUGGCUCAUGCCUGUAAUCCCAGCACUUUGGGAGACCAAGGUGGGUGGAUCAUGAGGUCAGGAGAUUGAGAUCAUCCUGGCCAACAUGGUGAAACCCCGUCUCUAUUAAAAAUACAAAAAUUAGCUGGGCAUGUUGGCACACGCCUGCAGUCUCAGCCACUUGGGAGGCUGAGGCAGGAGAAUCGCUUGAACCCAGGAGGUGGAGGACGCAGUGAGCCAAGAUCACCUCUGCACUCCAGCCAGGCAGCAGAGCGAGCAUGAGAAUCUGUCUGAUACAAGCCAGUCUAUCACAGACAAGAAAUGAAAUCUUGUAACCUGCUUUUAUGAAGGAGUUUGUGACUUUGUGUUAGACCUGGAGAUUAAGGAGAAAAAGAAUAAAAAAAACAUGAGGGAGAAGAGUUAGGAAAAGAUUAAGUUGCUUGACAUCCAAGAGGCUUGGCAUUGCUGCAGUCCACCUUGUUCCUCAGAUUAGUAAUUACAUUUUGGUCUUGCCACUGGGUUGGAAGGAACCUGGAAGCUGUUUUCAGAUAUCAGAAGGACUCUACUGUGGCUUUGGCAAUAAUGGA